This 319-nucleotide ribosomal RNA is filed under the name uncultured bacterium. RNAcentral's name for it is "bacterial SSU rRNA". It matches the Rfam family "Bacterial small subunit ribosomal RNA", at positions 28 to 334 of the family's 1533-position model. The record is from RNAcentral.
GAUGAACGCUAGCGACAGGCUUAACACAUGCAAGUCGAGGGGCAGCGGGGGUGCAGGCUUGCCUGCACCUGCCGGCGACCGGCGCACGGGUGAGUAACACGUAUGGAACCUGCCCGCCACAGGGGGAUAACCCGGGGAAACCCGGCCUAAUACCCCAUGCCGCCCGGACCGGGCAUCCGGACCGGGCGAAAGGAGGAAUCCGGUGGCGGCUGGGCAUGCGGCGCAUUAGCUUGACGGCGGGGUAACGGCCCACCGUGGCGACGAUGCGUAGGGGUUCUGAGAGGAAGGCCCCCCACACUGGAACUGAGACACGGUCCAG